GCCCCAAUUGAGUCUUAUUGAGCAGGUCGGGCUGCUUCGACUGACUUCCGUUGAGAGGAAGUAUGACGUCGAGAAGUGUAUGUUCGCGUCCAAUCUUAGGGAUAUCCGGGACACGGGUAUAAUGCCUUGUCCGACUAUUCUGUUUCUUCUUUGCUCAUAAUAUCGGAAAGUAUGCUGAUUCUUUAUAAUUUCGUUUCUUUUGCAGCUUCUGAGGUAAAAAUGGAUGACAUCAAGUUCCCCAAGAACUUUGUCCUGUCUCGGGAUAAUAUGCAUGCCAUUUUCGACGCCUUUGGGGAUGGGCGUUCAGUGACUGAGAUUGCUGCGGAGAUGGUUCAAGCUGCUUCCUCCA
RNAcentral lists this long non-coding RNA (349 nucleotides) under Manihot esculenta (cassava). Its description in RNAcentral is "long non-coding RNA (MESC_LNC003531)". Lineage: Eukaryota; Viridiplantae; Streptophyta; Magnoliopsida; Malpighiales; Euphorbiaceae. The record is from RNAcentral.